UCCUCAGAUCGUAAGAUGUUUUCUAGCCAAUCGGCGGUCGAGUUUCAAAACUACUGACAUCGCCGGAUCCGCGUUUCCAUGACGACGUCCGUUGGUCGUUUGAAAACAGGAAAAGCGCGGGAAAUCGUACGUCCAGACGAUUUAUCCUGACAAUCAAAUUUGAUAAAAUGAAAAAUGAUGACGAUAGAUAUUCAUGGGAAAGUGAAUCCACGAUAGAAGAUGACGAUGAUGAUAGAAAAACAACAAAGUGUUCAGACGUCUUUGAGUAUUUAUUUUGCAAAGUUCCAUCCGUCAUCUUUUCGUGUUGGAAAAGAAAAAAAUAAAUGCUCGAUAAUGAAAAAGAGGAAAUUGAGCUGUUGCAGUUUCCUUCUUCUUAUUUUUAUAUCUUUUGUGAAAAUUUAACUUUAGAUGGAUUUCCGGUAAUUAUUCUGUAUUAUUCUGAAAAUUAAUUGUGCAUAUCAUUAUGUGUUACCAACACAUUAUAAUAAUUUCGUUGUCACAGUUUUCAGUAGAAAAUUAUUAAAUUUUCAUCAAGCACGUGCUAUUUAAUAAUCUGCUCAACAUUCUAACUUGAAUUAUUCAGUUUAUUUCUACCAAACUGAUUGAGAAUUUUGAUGAAUCUAUCAAUUUUUCAUUGCACAUGUGAUUGGAGCUUUGCCGGAUCAAA
Long non-coding RNA from Centruroides sculpturatus (bark scorpion), 667 nucleotides. RefSeq lists it as uncharacterized. Lineage: Eukaryota; Metazoa; Arthropoda; Arachnida; Scorpiones; Buthidae. The record is from RefSeq and is a predicted model, not a curated record. The transcript has 4 exons.